This 329-nucleotide RNase P RNA is filed under the name uncultured Bulleidia sp. Its description in RNAcentral is "Bacterial RNase P class B". It matches the Rfam family "Bacterial RNase P class B". From Rfam's summary of the family: Ribonuclease P (RNase P) is a ubiquitous endoribonuclease, found in archaea, bacteria and eukarya as well as chloroplasts and mitochondria. Its best characterised activity is the generation of mature 5'-ends of tRNAs by cleaving the 5'-leader elements of precursor-tRNAs. The record is from RNAcentral. Lineage: Bacteria; Bacillati; Bacillota; Erysipelotrichia; Erysipelotrichales; Erysipelotrichaceae.
GGCAGCCGCUGGCAAACCCAGAGGAAAGUCCAUGCUCGCACUGUCUGCGAUGACAGUAGUGUCUGUGCUGGUCUAAAAAAUAAGGCCAGGCAUCUCCAUGAGAUGACGGCGGAACUGAAACCUAAAGACGAAAGUCCAUGGCGGAAGUCCUUAAGGUGUCACAGUGACGAAGCCUGUGAGGAAACGCACAGGGUGGAACGCGAUAAACCCCUCAGGCGAGAAACCCAAAUUUGGUAGGGGAACCGGAAAAGGUGAAAUGAAACCCGCUCCGGCUGCGAAAGCAGAGAUAAAUGGCUGCCGCACCGCAAGGUGAACAGAACAUGGCUUAU